This is a non-coding RNA of Bos taurus (domestic cattle), 72 nucleotides long. The record is from Rfam. NCBI's taxonomy places the organism in Eukaryota, Metazoa, Chordata, Mammalia, Artiodactyla, Bovidae.
UCCCGGAUGGUCCUGUGUUUAGGAUUUGGCACUUUCAAUGCUGGGGCCCAGGUUCAAUACCUGGUCAGGGAA